UAAGUUAUACUUUUAGUUCAUGUUGCAUAAUUAUUAAUAAUUUUAAUUUAGUAGUGAAAUGUUAAACGAUUUAAAAGAUAUCUAGUUUCUUUAGAAAUGAAUUUAAUUCAUUAUUUAAAUAAUUUAAUUUAAAAAUUGUUUUAUAUUAAAUUUAUUUAAAUAUAAGUAUUUUGGGGAUAAACUUAAAAUAUUAAUUAAUAAUAAAAGUUUUAAAUUGAUUAUAAAAAUAUUUAUAGUAAUAGAAAUUUUUAUUAAGUAUUUCAUAAUUUAUAAAUUUAUUAAAUUUGAUUUAUAAAUUUUAUUUUAAUUUAUAUAAAGAAUUUUAUUUAAUUUUAAAUAUAUAGUUAUAAUGAUUAUAUUAGUAAAUAUUAUUUUAUAGAAUAAUAAAUAAGUUAAAUAUAUUAUUAAAGAACUCGACAAAAAUUUUAUUCACCUGUUUAUCAAAAACAUCGUUUGUAGAUAAAAAUUAUAAAUUUACUCUGCCCAAUGAAUUUAAUUUUAAUGGCUGCGGUAUACUGACUGUACAAAGGUAGCAAAAUCAAUUGUUUUUUAAUUGAAAACUGGAAUGAAAGAGUUGAUGAAAUAAAAAUUGUUUCAAUAAUAAUGUUUGAAUUUAAAUUUUAAGUUAAAAUGCUUAAAUAUAUUUAUUAGACGAGAAGACCCUAUAGAAUUUUAUAAAAUUUGAGUAUAACAAUUUUUUUUGUAAAUUAGGAUUUUAUAUUUAAUUAUAUUUAGUUGGGAGGAUUAUAAAAUUUA
This 756-nucleotide ribosomal RNA is filed under the name Orientalicesa confasciatus. Its description in RNAcentral is "partial large subunit ribosomal RNA". The record is from RNAcentral. Lineage: Eukaryota; Metazoa; Arthropoda; Insecta; Hymenoptera; Vespidae.